Molecule: ribosomal RNA, 220 nt
Filed under: uncultured bacterium
Lineage: Bacteria
Description: partial 16S ribosomal RNA
Rfam family: Bacterial small subunit ribosomal RNA
Source: RNAcentral
UACGGGGGGGGCAAGCGUUGUUGCGGAAUUACUGGGCGUAAAGGGCUCGUAGGCGGCCAACUAAGUCAUACGUGAAAUCCCUCGGCUUAACCGGGGAACUGCGUCUGAUACUGGAUGGCUUGAGGUUGGGAGAGGAUGCGGAAUUCCAGGUGUAGCGGUGAAAUGCGUAGAUAUCUGGAGGAACACCGGUGGCGAAGGCGGCAUCCUGGACCGAUACUGA